UCCCCUUUUACAGGGCAGUCUCCCGUGAGAAUGCAACACGGGACGAGGGUUGCGCUCGUUGCGGGACUUAACCCAACACCUCACGGCACGAGCUGACGACAGCCAUGCAGCACCUGUGCAAGUUGCCGACUUUACGGCUCGUUGCCCUUUCAGGUUCCUACUUCUUGCAUGUCAAGCCUAGGUGAGGUUCUGCGUUUUGCAUCGAAUUAAACCACACGCUCCGCUGCUUGUGCGGGCCCCCGUCAAUUCCUUUGAGUUUCAGCCUUGCGGCCGUACUCCCCAGGCGGAGUGCUUAACGCGUUAGCUUCGGCACAGGGGGGGUCGAUACCCCCUAUACCCAGCACUCAUCGUUUAGGGCGUGGACUAC
This 367-nucleotide unclassified non-coding RNA is filed under the name uncultured Chloroflexota bacterium. Its description in RNAcentral is "uncultured Chloroflexi bacterium contains 16S-23S intergenic spacer region". The record is from RNAcentral. Lineage: Bacteria; Bacillati; Chloroflexota.